Molecule: ribosomal RNA, 938 nt
Filed under: Bacteroides stercoris ATCC 43183
Lineage: Bacteria; Pseudomonadati; Bacteroidota; Bacteroidia; Bacteroidales; Bacteroidaceae
Description: bacterial SSU rRNA
Rfam family: Bacterial small subunit ribosomal RNA
Source: RNAcentral
AGAGUUUGAUCCUGGCUCAGGAUGAACGCUAGCUACAGGCUUAACACAUGCAAGUCGAGGGGCAGCAUCAUCAAAGCUUGCUUUGAUGGAUGGCGACCGGCGCACGGGUGAGUAACACGUAUCCAACCUGCCGACAACACUGGGAUAGCCUUUCGAAAGAAAGAUUAAUACCGGAUGGCAUAGUCUUCCCGCAUGGGAUGAUUAUUAAAGAAUUUCGGUUGUCGAUGGGGAUGCGUUCCAUUAGGCAGUUGGCGGGGUAACGGCCCACCAAACCUACGAUGGAUAGGGGUUCUGAGAGGAAGGUCCCCCACAUUGGAACUGAGACACGGUCCAAACUCCUACGGGAGGCAGCAGUGAGGAAUAUUGGUCAAUGGACGAGAGUCUGAACCAGCCAAGUAGCGUGAAGGAUGACUGCCCUAUGGGUUGUAAACUUCUUUUAUACGGGAAUAAAGUGAGCCACGUGUGGCUUUUUGUAUGUACCGUAUGAAUAAGGAUCGGCUAACUCCGUGCCAGCAGCCGCGGUAAUACGGAGGAUCCGAGCGUUAUCCGGAUUUAUUGGGUUUAAAGGGAGCGUAGGCGGGUUGUUAAGUCAGUUGUGAAAGUUUGCGGCUCAACCGUAAAAUUGCAGUUGAUACUGGCGACCUUGAGUGCAACAGAGGUAGGCGGAAUUCGUGGUGUAGCGGUGAAAUGCUUAGAUAUCACGAAGAACUCCGAUUGCGAAGGCAGCUUACUGGAUUGUAACUGACGCUGAUGCUCGAAAGUGUGGGUAUCAAACAGGAUUAGAUACCCUGGUAGUCCACACAGUAACGAUGAUACUCGCUGUUGCGAUAUACAGUCAGCGGCCAAGCGAAAGCAUUAAGUAUUCCACCUGGGGGAGUACGCCGGCAACGGUGAACUCAAAGGAAUUGACGGGGGCCCGCAAAGCGGAGGAAAAAUGU